RNAcentral lists this transfer RNA (76 nucleotides) under Verrucomicrobiota bacterium. RNAcentral's name for it is "Verrucomicrobia bacterium tRNA-Ala". It matches the Rfam family "tRNA". From Rfam's summary of the family: Transfer RNA (tRNA) molecules are approximately 80 nucleotides in length. The record is from RNAcentral. Lineage: Bacteria; Pseudomonadati; Verrucomicrobiota. RNAcentral also lists the same sequence under 1 other name.
GGGGGUAUAGCUCAGCUGGUAGAGCAUCUGCUUUGCAAGCAGAAGGUCACCGGUUCGAACCCGGUUGCCUCCACCA